This 2994-nucleotide ribosomal RNA is filed under the name Larsenimonas rhizosphaerae. Its description in RNAcentral is "Bacterial large subunit ribosomal RNA". It matches the Rfam family "Bacterial large subunit ribosomal RNA". The record is from Rfam by way of RNAcentral. Lineage: Bacteria; Pseudomonadati; Pseudomonadota; Gammaproteobacteria; Oceanospirillales; Halomonadaceae.
GGUCAAGCGAUUAAGCGCACACGGUGGAUGCCUAGGCAGUCAGAGGCGAUGAAAGACGUGAUAGCCUGCGAUAAGCGUCGGUGAGGUGGCAAAUAACCUGUGACCCGGCGAUCUCUGAAUGGGGAAACCCACUUACCAUCAGGUAAGUAUCCAUGAGUGAAUACAUAGCUCAUGGAGGCGAACCGGGGGAACUGAAACAUCUAAGUACCCCGAGGAAAAGAAAUCAACCGAGAUUCCCCAAGUAGCGGCGAGCGAACGGGGACCAGCCCUUAAGCCAUGGGGCCAAUAAGCGAACAGGGUGGGAAACCUGACGAUACAGGGUGAUAGUCCCGUAGCUGAAAUUCAACCAUGGUGAAAUCGAGUAGGUCGGGGCACGAGAAACCCUGACUGAACAUGGGGGGACCAUCCUCCAAGGCUAAAUACUCCUGACUGACCGAUAGUGAACCAGUACCGUGAGGGAAAGGCGAAAAGAACCCCGGAGAGGGGAGUGAAAUAGAUCCUGAAACCGUGUGCGUACAAGCAGUGGGAGCAGACUUGUUCUGUGACUGCGUACCUUUUGUAUAAUGGGUCAGCGACUUAUUUUCAGUAGCGAGCUUAACCGUAUAGGGGAGGCGUAGGGAAACCGAGUCUUAAAUGGGCGAUCAGUUGCUGGAAAUAGACCCGAAACCGGGCGAUCUAUCCAUGGGCAGGUUGAAGGUUGAGUAACAUCAACUGGAGGACCGAACUCAAGUAUGUUGAAAAAUGCUGAGAUGACCUGUGGAUCGGAGUGAAAGGCUAAUCAAGCCCGGAGAUAGCUGGUUCUCCUCGAAAACUAUUUAGGUAGUGCCUCACGUAUCACCGCCGGGGGUAGAGCACUGUUUCGGCUAGGGGCCCAUCCCGGGUUACCAACCCGAGGCAAACUCCGAAUACCGGUGAGUGCAGCGUGGGAGACACACGGCGGGUGCUAACGUCCGUCGUGAAAAGGGAAACAACCCAGACCGCCAGCUAAGGCCCCCAAUUCCUGGUUAAGUGGGAAACGAUGUGGGAAGGCUCAGACAGCUAGGAGGUUGGCUUAGAAGCAGCCAUCCUUUAAAGAAAGCGUAAUAGCUCACUAGUCGAGUCGGCCUGCGCGGAAGAUGUAACGGGGCUCAAACCAGGAGCCGAAGCUGCGGGNNNNNNNNNNNNNNNNNNNNNNNNNNNNNNNNNNNNNNNNNNNNNNNNNNNNNNNNNNNNNNNNNNNNNNNNNNNNNNNNNNNNNNNNNNNNNNNNNNNNGCAUCACUUGAGUGAUGCGCGGUAGAGGAGCGUUGUGUACGUCUGUGAAGGUGUAUCGAGAGGUAUGCUGGAGAUAUCACAAGUGCGAAUGCUGACAUGAGUAACGAUAAGGGGAGUGAAAACCUCCCCCGCCGGAAGACCAAGGGUUCCUGUUCGACGUCAAUCGGAGCAGGGUGAGUCGGUUCCUAAGGCGAGGCCGAAAGGCGUAGUCGAUGGAAAACGGGUUAAUAUUCCCGUACCAGAUUAUAUUGCGAUGGGGGGACGGAGAAGGCUAGGUAAGCCAGGCGUUGGUUGUCCUGGUGAAAGCAUGUAGGCCGAGUGAUCAGGCAAAUCCGAUCACUUAAAGCCGAGAUGCGAGACGAACGGUCUACUUGUAGACCGGAAGUUAUCGAUGCCACGCUUCCAGGAAAAGCCUCUAAGCUUCAGAUAUAAUGUGACCGUACCCCAAACCGACACAGGUGGUCAGGUAGAGAAUACCAAGGCGCUUGAGAGAACUCGGGUGAAGGAACUAGGCAAAAUGGCACCGUAACUUCGGGAGAAGGUGCGCCGGCUUAGGGUGAAGGGACUUGCUCCUGGAGCUCGAACCGGUCGAAGAUACCAGGUGGCUGCAACUGUUUAUUAAAAACACAGCACUCUGCUAACGCGCAAGCGGACGUAUAGGGUGUGACGCCUGCCCGGUGCCGGAAGGUUAAUUGAUGGUGUUAGCGCAAGCGAAGCUCUUGAUCGAAGCCCCGGUAAACGGCGGCCGUAACUAUAACGGUCCUAAGGUAGCGAAAUUCCUUGUCGGGUAAGUUCCGACCUGCACGAAUGGCGUAAUGAUGGCCACACUGUCUCCACCCGAGACUCAGUGAAAUUGAAAUCGCUGUGAAGAUGCAGUGUUCCCGCGGCUAGACGGAAAGACCCCGUGAACCUUUACUAUAGCUUCACACUGGAUGCUGAUGUUGUUUGUGUAGGAUAGCUGGGAGGCUUUGAACCCUGGACGCCAGUUCAGGGGGAGCCAACCUUGAAAUACCAGCCUGACAUCAUUGGCGUUCUAACCUCGCACCGUUAUCCGGUGCAGGGACAGUGUGUGGUGGGUAGUUUGACUGGGGCGGUCUCCUCCUAAAGAGUAACGGAGGAGCACGAAGGUACCCUCAGCACGGUUGGAAAUCGUGCAAUGAGUGCAAGAGCAUAAGGGUGCUUGACUGCGAGACGGACAUGUCGAGCAGGUGCGAAAGCAGGUUCUAGUGAUCCGGUGGUUCUGUAUGGAAGGGCCAUCGCUCAACGGAUAAAAGGUACUCCGGGGAUAACAGGCUGAUACCGCCCAAGAGUUCACAUCGACGGCGGUGUUUGGCACCUCGAUGUCGGCUCAUCACAUCCUGGGGCUGAAGUCGGUCCCAAGGGUAUGGCUGUUCGCCAUUUAAAGUGGUACGCGAGCUGGGUUUAGAACGUCGUGAGACAGUUCGGUCCCUAUCUGCCGUGGGCGUCGGAAGUUUGAGAAGAGCUGCUCCUAGUACGAGAGGACCGGAGUGGACGAACCUCUGGUGUUCCGGUUGUCACGCCAGUGGCAUUGCCGGGUAGCUAUGUUCGGACGGGAUAACCGCUGAAAGCAUCUAAGCGGGAAGCCCCCUUCAAGAUGAGACUUCCCUGGGGCCUCGAGCCCCCUGAAGGACCCUCGAAGACUACGAGGUGAUAGGCGCGGUGUGUAAGUGUCGUCAAGAUAUUGAGCUAACGCGUACUAAUUGUCCGUGAGGCUUGACCAU